RNAcentral lists this ribosomal RNA (253 nucleotides) under uncultured bacterium. RNAcentral describes it as "partial 16S ribosomal RNA". It matches the Rfam family "Bacterial small subunit ribosomal RNA", at positions 524 to 776 of the family's 1533-position model. The record is from RNAcentral.
UACGUAGGGUGCAAGCGUUGUCCGGAAUUAUUGGGCGUAAAGAGCUCGUAGGCGGUUUGUCGCGUCUGCUGUGAAAACGCGAGGCUCAACCUCGCGCCUGCAGUGGGUACGGGCAGACUAGAGUGCGGUAGGGGAGAUUGGAAUUCCUGGUGUAGCGGUGGAAUGCGCAGAUAUCAGGAGGAACACCGAUGGCGAAGACAGAUCUCUGGGCCGUAACUGACGCUGAGGAGCGAAAGCGUGGGGAGCGAACAGG